Molecule: long non-coding RNA, 5889 nt
Filed under: Pan troglodytes (chimpanzee)
Lineage: Eukaryota; Metazoa; Chordata; Mammalia; Primates; Hominidae
Description: long non-coding RNA NONPTRT013276
Source: RNAcentral
UUUACAACAAGAUUUAUUGAAUAUUUUAAACCCACUGUUGAGACCUACUGCUCAGAAAAAAUAUAUCUUUCAAAAUACUACUGCUCAUUGACAAUGUUACUGAUCAACCAAGAGCUCUGAUCAGGAAAAAAUAUAUCUUUCAAAAUAUUACUGCUCAGAAAAAUAUUACUGCUCUAAAGAUAAAGCAAGUUCUUUUUUCACUACAAUAUGCGCGAAAGGACCAAUAAUACCUAAUUGGGCAGGCUGGCAGACUGCUGUUCAAAGACAGAUGAAUUACAGCAGCUAUCAUUUUGUCCCUUUUAGGUUACCUUACGAGUUUUCUUCUUUAUGGAUGCCCAGAACGGGCCUUUCAGAAUGUGCCUAGAUGAGAAAUUCAUUUCUAGUCAUUAUCACCACAGCUUUAGCUAGGAAACCAGCUCUGUUCCAAAUCAGGACGAAGUAAAAGCAUAGGUUUUCUAUAGGCAAAUGCAAUUUUUGACUGGCUGUCCUCAGAAGCCAUUGCUCCUGGUUGCCGCGUCUUUGCUGAUGGAAAGUCAAGCCAGGCCACAUUAUUAGGUAGCUCAGUAGCAGUUAAUUAUUAACUCCAGUGGAGAGUGGUUCAUGAGAUUACUGUAUAUGCUGUUACAACAUGAUUAACUCUCUGCUCAUCAAUUCAAUUUUUUUCGGAAGUGUUGCUGCAAAUAUGGCAUAAAUUUCCUGGGCACAGCAUUCAGUUCCACCUUAUUAUGCAGCACGGCUUCAAAGAUAUGAGGUUCCAUGUCUAAUCUUAAUUUAAUUUUAGAAGUUAGCUCUCUGGCUUGCUACAAGCUGCAUUCCAUUUCUGAUGUUAUCCACAAUUCUGAGACCGACUAGAAAUACCUGUGUGGAUUGUGGUAGAAAAGGAUAACCCUGGAUCUGGAAUAAAAGUGUAGCCUCAGAAAUUUCCUGGCAUUGGAUCACAAGGUCAGGAAAUCGAGACCAUCCUGGCUAACACAGUGAAACCCCGUCUCUACUAAAAAAUACAAAAAAUUAGCCAGGCAUAGCGGCGGGCGCCUGUAGUCCCAGCUACUUGGGAAGCUGAGGCAGGAGAAUGGCGUGAACCCAGGAGGCGGAGCUUGCAGUGAGCCGAGAUCGCGCCACUGCACUCCAGCCUGGGCAACAGAGCAAGACUCCGUCUCAGAAAAAAAAAAAAAAAAAAAAAAAUUCCUGGCAUUGUUGAGUCUGUGCUGCAACAAAGGCAGCUGGAUUCCACAGGACAGUUUACAUGUGGGUAUCAGCAUUUGUACAUCCUCAGAAUCUCCUAUGAAGAGCAUCACGCCAAUUGCUAACAUCUCGCAAUUCCCAGAACCAAGCCACUGGCCUUUCAGGAGAAAACUCUGUAUUCAGAGAAGUCCCUCUCUAUUAGAGGAAAUAAAUAAGUUGAUGCCUUUUUAAUCUGAGCAGAUGCAUAGAAUUUCCUAUGGGGGAUUCUCACAAGGAUGUUUGUACUUGAAUGUUUUUCUGCAAGAGAGAAGAAAGAGCCUGGUGUCCUCCUGGAUCAAAAGUAGGGGCUUUUCAUUAAUUCGUGAUGAACAGCUAUGUAUCAAAUCUAUAUCCACUUAAAGAGGUGGAAAUUACUCUCUUGGUUUAUUGGACCAGACAAGGACUGUGGGUCUCAUUGGUUCUUAACAGAGCCUCAACAAAGCCAUAAUUACAGAAAUUCUUCCAGGACCAUGGACAUUAUUUAGGCUUUCUGUUACCUAGAAUCCACACCAGGAAAAUUAUGUGCAAACGCAAAUCAGACAUUUUCCUGGGAUUUAUUUGUCGAGUGUUGCUUGGAAAGAAUUCCCACAGCAUAAAAAUUAUGCUUGGAGAAAAGAAUGGAAGAAUCAAAGUGAACCAUGCUGCUUUUUGCAGGAACAAAGCAAUAUAAAAAAUAAAGCCUGCGAAGAACUAUUUUCCUCCCCACUGCUACUCUCUUAUCAAGGCAUCUUCUUUCCAUUUGUUGACCAGCCUCAAUGUCCAACGGCUUCUUGGACCAAUACUGCCACGCUUUCUACCUCUACAGAAUUUGAAAAUAUGCUGAAGCUAACAAACAAGGAGUCUUUAUAUAAGUACCAAAAGUCUUUAUAUAGGUACAUAUUUGUGAGCGUGUGCGUGAAUGUGUGCACACAUACACACGUGGGAGCAAUGAAGGUUACCUCAUGUAACCCUGUUAAGUGAAAACAACAUUAAGCACCUCAAAUUCAAGCUGCUAAUUUGUUCCUCCAUCAUUUGGGGAAAACUUUGCAAAAUUAUCCAAUUGCUCAUCUGGAAAAAGAAACAUUCAAAAAGAGGCAAGAAAAGGAUUUAAAAGAAUGAAGGAGAACUUACUCUACUCAACUUUAAAACUUAUUAUAAAGGUGCAAUAAAUCAAACAGUGUGAUGGCAGCACUAGGCUAUACCAAUGGAGCAUAAUGAAAGCAUACACCAAAAAAUUACAUAUAGUUUCUGCCUUGAGAGAGAGCACUCAUAUGUAUAUGUGUGUGUGUGUGUGUGUGUGUGUGUCAUAGUUUAUGAUAAUGUUGAAAUUGUGUGAUAGAGUAGAAAGAGUAUGAACUUCAGAAUCAGAUAAAUUCAAACCUGGAUUUGAAUUCCAGUCCAUGCACUCUUGAGCAAGUUAAUACUCUUACUGAAUAUUAAUUACCUAAAAUGGAAUGGGGAUGGUGAUAUGUAUCUUUAAGAUGUGAGGAUUUGAGAAUCAAAUGAUAUCCUACAUGUAUUAGUCAAGGUUUUUAGUUACAAGUGGCAGAGACAUACUCUGGCUAAUCUGGGCAGAUGAGGAAUUUAUUCAAGGCUCUUGUGUUGCUUACAAAAUUUCUGAGAAGGGCAGAGAAACAGUCUUGGGAAAAGGGAAGAACAAGGAAGGCUAGACAGCAACCAGGACCACAGGAAUUCAUGCCCCCAAAGAGCAUGUGAGGACUGCUAGCCCUACCACUGAAUCCUGGGUGUCACUGCUGGCAUGGCCACAUAUGCUCCAAGACAGCAGUUGUUGCUGGAUCACUCAUCAGAAUGGCAUUGGCUUGGUCCACCCUCUUUGAAUCAAUAGAUCCAGUUGUAAAUUCCAGAGAGGGUCUGUUGAUUGGUUGCUCCUAACCUAAGUGCAGAGGAGUCUAGGAAAAUAAGUUCUUGGCAUUUUCAAGUUUUAUAGUGAAGGCAAGCUCUCCUUCCCUAGCAAGAUUCAUAAGGUAGACAAUUUAUCAAAUGCAGGAAGGAAUUUCAGAUUCUGCGUCACCUAGAAAAGGCACAAAUCCAUUACAAAACAUAUCAAAGCACCUGAUACAUAACAGAUAUUCAGGAAAUGGUGACAAUUGAUAUUUUCACAAAUCAGUGGGGGAAAGGAACAAUUCAUUAUUCAACAAAUGGUGCUGGGACCAUUUGUUAUUUGGAACAAAAAAAAAUCUAAAAUUCACCAAAAUAAACUCCAAUUGGAUCAAAGAUUAAAAAGAGAUUUUUUAAUCAAAGAUUUAAAUCUGUAAAAAAUAAUUUGACCCACUGUGCCCAUCAAUUCAGCCUCCAGAUCCACCUGGAAAGGAUGUUAAUUUAAGCUCAGUGGGUUUUCUAAUGGUGCCUCUUCCAGUUCUGGCAAGACAGGAGAGUCCUACAGCCCAUCACUUAGAACAGAUUCACAUGCCCCACUCUUAAUUUUGCAUCUGACCUCCAGUUGAAACACUUCUCUUUUAUUUACUGAAAAUAAAAUGUUAAAACAGUUUCUCACAUGCUUAAUUUCUACAAGUCUUUCUUUGGGUCAUUCAACCAGCGUUGUGGAUAAUGUUACCAGGAGUGCUUGGUGGCUUGGAUUCUAUGUCUCCACUAAACUAUAGGUUUCAAAGGCAAGGGGCUUGUUUUACGUAUCUUUUUUUUUCUAUUAUGCCUGGUACAAUGCUUUCAAUAUAGGAGGUGCUCAAUCCAUGAUUAAGGAAGAAAACGGAAUUGCUGGUUAGCUGUUUCAAAAUGUCUGGUAAUGGUUUCAGCUUUGAGCACUAACUCAGAUAAAGCACUAACAUCUCUGAUCCUCAAUUUCCUUUUCUUUAGAACAAGAACACUUACAUUACCCUUACUCCCCCAAAACUUCACAUAACAAAUAUUGAUCAUUUUGGGCUUGAUGAAACAAUUCAUAGGUGACAGCUCUUAAGAUCAUAGAUGGACAGCUUUCCAGAAGGUAUACUACUCUUUCUCUUCUCUUAUCUAUAAUCUUUACUGUUCUCAGUUUCCAUCUGCCACUCUUAUGUCCAGUUCUGAAAAGCUAGUCAAGGAUGAGUGGCGCUGGCCAAAAAUUUUCCUUUUCUAGCUAUGUUUCUUGGCGGUUACAUUUUUCCUCUUGAUUUAUUGCUUUUCACUAUUGUUAGAAUAGAUAUGUGAUCUGAAACAUCAAUUUCCUCCUGACUUAGGUGCAUCUUGCUUUCUUUUUUACCGUCUAAAAGAUCUUAAUAUUAUUUAUUUAAAGUUGAGAGAGCACUUUGUGUCUCUUGGAUGCAAAUAACUGAGUGUGUAUAUUAUUAUUGUCUCUAUUGCCCAAAAGGAAAAACUUCAUUUCUUAUAGAUACAGUAUUUUUAUUUUUAAAUGUUUAGAGAGAAAAAAAAAAACCAUUAGCCAUGAUAUAUCCCUAAAUAACACAUGAGUAAGGGUUCACCGUGUCUGAAAAAUUCUACUCAGCUCCAGAUUUGAGAAAAGACCAUUUGUCUGGCCUCUCUGAUUCAUCCCUGAGAAUGAAAAGGACCAAAAGUCUGUUCCCUUUGGUACAAACUCUCUUUCAUAUUUUAUUUUCUAAUGCACAGCUAAUUUCUAAAUUAAGACCAUGCUUACAAGAAAGGUUAGGAAGUUAUUCACUUCAAUCCAUUAGUAAGUCUGUUUUUGAUUGAACUUUUAAAUAACUUUUGAUAAUUAGUACAUCUUGUCUUUUGGAUUUCAAAUAAGAUAAAAUAAUCAGUUUUCUUUUUUAUUUAAAAUUAUGCCAGAUUUAGCCCAGUCAAAAGAUUCCAGAAUUUCUCCCAGCAAGACAAACACUUUGGAGAAUUUUUUAAUUCCCCACAUGCGUGCUGUCCAUAUACUCCCAUUACCAAACUUUAAGUGAUCAAAGUGUUGAACUAUAUCUGUGAUUAGGUCAGCGGUCAGCAAACUUUUCCUCUAAUAAGGCAGAGGGUAAAUAUUUCCAGCUUUGCAGCCAUUUGGUCUCUGUCCCAACACCUCAACUCUGCCAUAAUCAUGCAAAAGCAGCCAUUGAUAAUACAUAAGUGAUCGAGUGUGGCUGUGUUCCAAUAAAACUUUAUUUAUAAACACUGAAAUUUGAAUUUCAUAUAAUUUUUACAUGACAUGGUAUACUAUUCUUCUUUUGCCUUUUAAGGUAUAAAUGCCAUAGUUCGUGGGUCAUAUAAAAAUAGGCAGUGGGCCAGAUUUAGCUGGGGUGACAGUUUGCUGACCCCUGCUCUAGGUGAACUGGGGAUGGGCUUCUUGAAAAGUUUUCACUAAAUAGCAUAUAACAUUUAUUUCAGAAAAACUUAUUUGUGCUUUUUCUCUGCUCUCACACCACAAAAACCAAUCAACACAGAAGACUUCUGUGACCAAAUGUGUGGGUUUUUUUCCCCACCACCAAGCAGUGGCCACCAGCUGGGUGUCCUCCAAGUCAACUCUGACACUACCUGGAAAUAGCUUCAGAUUCCACAAAUUGAAGGCUCAGUCACUAAAACUGGCCCCCACCUUUCAGACACCAGUCGAACUUCUGACCCACUGGCUUCAGCUUGGGGCUCCCAUGACCCCUUCUUAGAUGAAUUUGUUGGAGGGGCUCACAGAACUCAGGGAAACACGUUUACCAAUAUACUAUAAAGGAUAUUACAAAGGAUACAGAUGAAGAGGUGCACAGGACAGGCAUGAGGGAAGUGGGCGGAGCUUCC